RNAcentral lists this ribosomal RNA (240 nucleotides) under uncultured bacterium. RNAcentral describes it as "partial 16S ribosomal RNA". It matches the Rfam family "Bacterial small subunit ribosomal RNA", at positions 104 to 334 of the family's 1533-position model. The record is from RNAcentral.
CGGGACGGGGUGGAGUAAUGUCUGGGAAACGUGCCUGAUGGAGGGGGGUAACUACUGGAAACGGUAGCUAAUACCGCAUAACGUCGCAAGACCAAAAGAAGGGGGGACCGUUCGGGCCUCUUGCCAUCGGAUGUGCCCAGAUGGGAUUAGCUAGUAGGUGGGGUAACGGCUCACCUAGGCGACGAUCCCUAGCUGGUCUGAGAGGAUGACCAGCCACACUGGAACUGAGACACGGUCCAG